This is a long non-coding RNA of Peromyscus eremicus (cactus mouse), 553 nucleotides long. RefSeq lists it as uncharacterized. The record is from RefSeq and is a predicted model, not a curated record. The transcript is spliced from 2 exons. Lineage: Eukaryota; Metazoa; Chordata; Mammalia; Rodentia; Cricetidae.
GAAGGGUGGAGUCAGGGGAGAUGCCAGCCUGCUGCCCAAGGAACAACAAGAUGUUAGCAGACCAGAAAUGCCGCGGCUACGUGACAACAUACAUAUUUAUAAAAAUGGAUUGAGUUAAGUUAUAAGAGCUAGCUAGCAAGAAGCCUGACCCAUAGACCAUACAGUUUGCCUGCAGAAUCCUCCAGCAUUUGCAGCUGUAGUCACCGUGUCUGAACUCAGCCGACAAAUCGUCCUGUGUGCCAAGCAGAUGCUUCCCUUUGUGGUUAUGGCUCAACUUGAAGACCAGUUUUCCUUCCUCGGAGGAAAUGUCAACAGGGUCAUAAAGUAGAAGUGUCUCCAAGCAGCCAAGAACACAUCCAGGAGCUGUGGAGAUGUGGGGGAGUAAGUGUGGAGAAACAUUUCUACACGAAGCACCCAGACCUCUCCGUUCUGUUUUCUCUUCUUUUUGUCAUCUGAAAGGUCACUUCACAGCCCAUGAGAGUACCUGUUUGAAUUAAUUUUUUUAUUCCUUCAGAGUUCCACACAUGGAUAUAAUAAAGUUCAGUUAUUUUCA